AGUGAACGCUGGCGGUAGGCCUAACACAUGCAAGUCGAACGGCAGCACAGGAGAGCUUGCUCUCUGGGUGGCGAGUGGCGGACGGGUGAGGAAUACAUCGGAAUCUGCCCAGUCGUGGGGGAUAACGUAGGGAAACUUACGCUAAUACCGCAUACGACCUUCGGGUGAAAGAGGGGGAUCGCAAGACCUCUCGCGAUUGGAUGAGCCGAUGUCGGAUUAGCUAGUUGGCGGGGUAAUGGCCCACCAAGGCGACGAUCCGUAGCUGGUCUGAGAGGAUGAUCAGCCACACUGGAACUGAGACACGGUCCAGACUCCUACGGGAGGCAGCAGUGGGGAAUAUUGGACAAUGGGCGCAAGCCUGAUCCAGCCAUACCGCGUGGGUGAAGAAGGCCUUCGGGUUGUAAAGCCCUUUUGUUGGGAAAGAAAUCUUUCAGGCUAAUACCCUGGGAGGAUGACGGUACCCAAAGAAUAAGCACCGGCUAACUUCG
Molecule: ribosomal RNA, 488 nt
Filed under: uncultured bacterium
Lineage: Bacteria
Description: partial 16S ribosomal RNA
Rfam family: Bacterial small subunit ribosomal RNA
Source: RNAcentral